RNAcentral lists this ribosomal RNA (223 nucleotides) under Solenopsis sp. 09 GR-2022a. RNAcentral's name for it is "partial large subunit ribosomal RNA". Lineage: Eukaryota; Metazoa; Arthropoda; Insecta; Hymenoptera; Formicidae. The record is from RNAcentral.
GAAUUUAAUAUAUAUUUUAUUAGAUUGAUUGAUAUAUAUAAAUUAAGUUAUAUAGUAAAAAUAUAUUUAGUUGGGAGGAUUAUUAAAUUUAAUAAACUUUAAUUUUUAUAAAAAUAUAAAUUAGUGGAAUAAAGUGAGUGAUUAGUAAAUUAAAUAAGAAUUAAUUACCUUAGGGAUAACAGCAUAAUAUUUUUAGAAAGUUCAUAUUAAUAGGAGUGUUUGU